ACGCUGGCGGCAGGCCUAACACAUGCAAGUCGAGCGGUAGAGAGGAGCUUGCUUCUCUUGAGAGCGGCGGACGGGUGAGUAAUGCCUAGGAAUCUGCCUGGUAGUGGGGGAUAACGCUCGGAAACGGACGCUAAUACCGCAUACGUCCUACGGGAGAAAGCAGGGGACCUUCGGGCCUUGCGCUAUCAGAUGAGCCUAGGUCGGAUUAGCUAGUUGGUGAGGUAAUGGCUCACCAAGGCGACGAUCCGUAACUGGUCUGAGAGGAUGAUCAGUCACACUGGAACUGAGACACGGUCCAGACUCCUACGGGAGGCAGCAGUGGGGAAUAUUGGACAAUGGGCGAAAGCCUGAUCCAGCCAUGCCGCGUGUGUGAAGAAGGUCUUCGGAUUGUAAAGCACUUUAAGUUGGGAGGAAGGGCAUUAACCUAAUACGUUGGUGUCUUGACGUUACCGACAGAAUAAGCACCGGCUAACUCUGUGCCAGCAGCCGCGGUAAUACGGAGGGUGCAAGCGUUAUCCGGAUUCACUGGGUUUAAAGGGUGCGUAGGCGGGCAGGUAAGUCCGUGGUGAAAACUCUGAGCUUAACUCAGAAACUGCCAUGGAUACUAUUUGUCUUGAAUACUGUGGAGGUAAGCGGAAUAUGUCAUGUAGCGGUGAAAUGCUUAGAUAUGACAUGGAACACCAAUUGCGAAGGCAGCUUACUACACAAAUAUUGACGCUGAGGCACGAAAGCGU
RNAcentral lists this ribosomal RNA (734 nucleotides) under uncultured soil bacterium. Its description in RNAcentral is "bacterial SSU rRNA". It matches the Rfam family "Bacterial small subunit ribosomal RNA", at positions 33 to 762 of the family's 1533-position model. The record is from RNAcentral.